GGUGGGCGCAGGGCUCAGGGAGAGCCUCGUUAUCCACGGUGUGGGGCAGGGAGCGGGGAGCUCUGCUGGAGGAGUGAAACAGCACGCAGGAAACCAGGCUGCACUCUGGGUUGAGGUUAAAGAUUUUUAAUCACUUUUGCAGAAUACAGAUACGAUUCCAACAAAAACUAUUUUUUUUUGGGGGGGGGGGUCUCAGGAAUUCACUUAUUAAUACCAUACAUUGAACUCUAUAAAUUCUCAUAUAAGAAAAAGAAGUCUUUUUCAUAUAGGUUAUGAUGCACUGGCGACCUAUUUGAAUCUUGAAGUCAACGCUUUGCAGCUAUAUAGCACCUUUCAUCACAGGGCUGCAAAGCAUCCUAUGGAAUUUAGCCUCAUAAUGCCCAAACGAGAUAAAUAGGGAGAGGAGGGUGAGGGGCUCCCACAGCUGGGUGUCACUGCAGCGCUGCCGAGCAUCUGUGCGCAUGGGGGGCAGGUGGAGAUUUGGUGCUUGAUGCCUCGUCCAGCUCGAGAGCUUCCUGUGGCAAUGCCCUCCUUCCCUCCAAGUGAAUCAUCACCACCUCCUGCACUCCUGGUUUUCCUUCAAUGCAAACCCAAAUCUCUGCUGAGAAACCAGCAGCUCAGCUCAGCGACCCUUCCUGCAGAUGCAGGACAGAUGGAGCUGCAGUGCUGGGUGCAGGAGCGCUUUCUGUUCGUCCCAGCUGUGCCCUGUGCUCACAUUCACCACCUCCUCCCAAAAUUCUGCGCUGCUCACGGGGCUGAAAGGCCUCCCCCAGUCAGCAACUGAACCCAAAGGUUCUGCAGCACCCGGCCCCACGGCUCUGCUCUCUGCAGGAAACAGGCAGGGGCUGCAGUGCCCUUUCACUCUGUGUCUCCGAGGGGACGUGGCUUGGCUGGAGGUUACAGCCAGAGAAACCCAGAGCCUGCCUUCAUUCUCAAGCUGGCAGAGCAAUUCCUAUCGUAACUGAGCCGCUUUCUGCACCUCACUGCGACACCAAACGCCUCCAGGCUCCUCCAUCCACCCGCAGACACCGGGCUGAGCACCUCUGAACCAACACUGCGAGCACCGACUGCUCUGCACGAGCCCUGCGCUGCCGUUCCCUGCAGCAACACCCUCAGAAACGCCGCCCGUCCUCCCCAGCCAACAGCCACAGCGUCGCCUCUGUGCGCCGAGCCGCAGCCAGGCGGGCUGCAGCAGUGGAAGGCACGGGGAUGGGGGAGGACAGCCUCCAGCACGAGGCGUCGCCCUUCUUGCGCUCAUCGUGGCUGUUUCUCUCCUCUCCAACACGAGGUUUUCCUCCCCCAAAGCUUACACCGUCAAUACACGGCGUUGCACGGCCAGCAGGGGAUUCAGCUCUCGUCCCAAAGCGCCUCAUCUGAGCUCUCAGAGCUCCAGCACUGCUGCGUCAUCUCCGUGCCUCGGACCUGCGUGACCGCGAAGGGCUGGGAGCCUCAGCACAGCGCCCAGGGCGGAUCUCAAUCCGGAAUGGAAACCGAAAGCAUCUGUUCUGAUCCUCGCACCACCCAGCGGCCCUGUCUGCCUCAGAGCCAUGAGAUAAAAGGGAUUUUUUACCAUGGGGAACAACCGCCUUCAGCCAGCCACGCUUUUAGGGAUUCACCUCUCCCUGCUGAGGGCAAAUCCCUCCCAUUCUAAGUACCUGGAAAAAUAAAAUCAACAUAAGCAGAAGUGCUCACAAAAAAGCAACGGGCUCCAGCCAGGGCAAACCGAACGCGUUAUGCAGCAGCUCCUGGCUCCUUCCCUCCUCCUGACACUGAGAUUCAGACACAGCUCCAUUUGUCACCAAUGCAGCUCGGGCUUCUUUCCACCCCCUACAAACCCAGCCAUGCGGUCACUGAACUCCUUUUUCCCUGAAGCAUCCCAGCACAAAACGCCGUGCCUGCAUUCAAACCACUGCAACACCGCCGUGGGGAGGGAAGGUCGGCGUUCAGAGCAUGAAACCAACCUCCAACGAGCCUCCGAGCAGCCAGGGCAGCUUCUGCAAUAGAACAGAUGGACAACAGCCAAGGGAACCAGGAUCCUGCCCAGGAGGGCAGAGCAGAGCAGGGCAGGACACACACACACACAGUGGGCUUGGAGCAGACACAACCAGGGGCAGCUUUACUUUUCACAUAAGUUUUCUGUAUUAAAAAAUACAUCAGUGAAAUCUGUUACAGGCAAGGGACAGGACUACCGAGUUUACACGACGUCAAUAGGCUACUUUUCUGAUUUUAUUUGUGUUUUUUUUUCUUGUUAAAUUACUUUUGUUACCUCUAAAAAAAAAAAUAAUUAAAAAAAAAAAGACAAC
Molecule: long non-coding RNA, 2303 nt
Organism: Tympanuchus pallidicinctus (lesser prairie-chicken)
Lineage: Eukaryota; Metazoa; Chordata; Aves; Galliformes; Phasianidae
Exons: 2
Source: RefSeq, a predicted model, not a curated record